GAUGAACGCUGGCGGAGUGCCUAACACAUGCAAGUCGAGCGGCAGCGCGAGUAGUUUACUACUUGGCGGCGAGCGGCGGACGGCUGAGUAACGCGUGGGAACAUGCCCCCAAAGUGAGGAAUAACUGCCCGAAAGGGUAGCUAAUGCCGCAUACGAUCUUCGGAUUAAAGGAUUUAUCCGCUUUGGGAGUGGCCUGCGUACGAUUAGAUAGUUGGUGAGGUAAUGGCUCACCAAGUCUACGAUCGUUAACUGGUUUGAGAGGAUGAUCAGUCAGACUGGAACUGAGACACGGUCCAGACUCCUACGGGAGGCAGCAGUGAGGAAUCUUCCACAAUGGACGAAAGUCUGAUGGAGCAACUCCGCGUGCAGGAUGAAGGCCUUCGGUC
This 386-nucleotide ribosomal RNA is filed under the name uncultured bacterium. RNAcentral's name for it is "bacterial SSU rRNA". It matches the Rfam family "Bacterial small subunit ribosomal RNA", at positions 28 to 423 of the family's 1533-position model. The record is from RNAcentral.